This 306-nucleotide ribosomal RNA is filed under the name uncultured bacterium. RNAcentral describes it as "bacterial SSU rRNA". It matches the Rfam family "Bacterial small subunit ribosomal RNA", at positions 28 to 330 of the family's 1533-position model. The record is from RNAcentral.
GAUGAACGCUAGCGGCAGGCCUAAUACAUGCAAGCCGAACGGCAAGAUUGAUAGCAAUAUUGAUCCUAGAGUGGCGUAAGGGUGCGUAACACGUAUGCAAUCUACCCUCAACAGGAGGAUAGCUCCCCGAAAGGGGAAUUAAGACUCCAUAAGAUCAUUUGGUGGCAUCAUUGAAUGAUUAAACUUCCAGGGGUUGAGGAUGAGCAUGCGCCNGAUUAGUUAGUUGGCGGGGUAAGGGCCCACCAAGACGAUGAUCAGUAGGGGAACUGAGAGGUUGAUCCCCCACACUGGCACUGAGAGUACGGG